This is a non-coding RNA of Paramuricea clavata, 1283 nucleotides long. The record is from the annotation of a GenBank genome assembly. Lineage: Eukaryota; Metazoa; Cnidaria; Anthozoa; Malacalcyonacea; Plexauridae.
CUCAUUACCUCUCAUUGGAGAGCUGUACCUCAUCGAAACUCAUCGGCACAACUAUCUGACGACACCGUCCCGUACACAUUCGAACAAUCACUUUGCCAGCUUUUAUUCCCUAAUCUUGAACAUUACAAUUGUGGGAGAAAAUUCCAUUUAUGCGCAUGCCUAAAACGAAUGAACACGGAAAUGUGUUUCUGCGCGUGCGUAUAUAUGAAAAGUGUUCGUACCACAAUCAUAAGACAAUCAAACAGCAUUCAAAACAGGCAACACACCACGCGCGAUUCCCUCGGCAACUAUGAUAUUACAAAGUAAUAGCAUGGCAUUACGGUCGAUUAGUGAUGAAAAUCGGUCGAUUAGUAAUGUCCCUCAAGCCUCGAGAGGUUUAGUAAAAGUCUCGGCUUUCGGGUACAUUUAAUCACUAAUCGCCCUGAAUGCCAUGCUAUUACUUAUGCACUAGUCAAUCGAAGUCCCCAUCCCGGGGAUAUACCGGGUUUUAACGGGACUUUGCGGGGGAAAUACAGGCUUUUAACAAACGUCGCUUGUUUGCUACCCGGGGUUUUAACACUGACUUAAAUAGCCGGGGCAUCAUAGCCGGGAAUUUAACGCCAUUUUUAACGCAAUUGAAAAGCGCCGGCUCGGGAAAGUGAUCGUGUGCACAGUCUUAGAUUUGUUUGUACUUUGUAUAUAUUUAUUUGGGAAAUUAUUAUAUUAAGAUAUUAAGCGCUACUCUUGUUGUUUGCAUGAUUUGAGUGAUGUAUUACCUGGUUUAUACCGUGAAUUUAUAUUUUACCCUAUUAACAUACCGGUAUAUAUGACCUGGCUUAUGCGUACUUUAAUAAUUAAAAACGGGAUUAUUUUACAAAGAAGCAAAGCAUCUGACAACUAUUGGCUUCAUUUGAACCAUUCUCCUGUAUUAAUUUUAUAAUAUGCAUACGAAAUUUUUAAAGAACGAACCAGGUAAAGUAUUUUAUUAUAUAAACAUAAGUGUUAUAUACAGUUUGUGAAAAUAUCAUUUGUUGUAAAACGCAUUGCCACGGACGUUUUAUUGUUUUUCACUGAAUUUUGUUUAUAUAAUAAACAGAAAAAUACAUGGGUGCUUGGAAAUACCAGAUUUAUUUCUCGUGUUGAACAUAUCUCACUCGUUCGCUGCCCUCACUCGUGAGAUAUCAUGUUCAACAUUGAAAUAAAUCUGGUAUUUCCGCCGCGCACCCAUGUAUUAUUCUCUAUAACUUUGGCGGAGUUUUAAUGGAAAUAUUAAUGUUAGGUUUUUUAUAAAACUGCGGAAAUUU